Non-coding RNA from Clavispora lusitaniae ATCC 42720, 100 nucleotides. The record is from the annotation of a RefSeq genome assembly. Lineage: Eukaryota; Fungi; Ascomycota; Pichiomycetes; Serinales; Metschnikowiaceae.
GGGCGUGUGGUCUAGUGGUAUGAUUCUCGCUUUGGGUGACAACUUAUCCAGUUGACGACAAAUUUGUGAGAGGCCCUGGGUUCAAUUCCCAGCUCGCCCC